UAAGAAAUGUAUUUCUAUGCCUCAUGUCAAAAGAAAAAUAAUGAAAUGUAUUAUCUUCUUUUUUUCACACCAAUUUAUAGUUUUUCAUACACUUUUUAUAGUAACUUUUCAUUAUCAAACAGGUUGUUGCUUUAAACACUUUAGAUCAACUUUUUUAUCGACUAAUUUAAUAGAAUCUCAUGAGAAAGCGUCAAAAAAAACAAGCCAUGACGCUUUAUAUAAAAACCAAGUACCAAUGGGAAAAACCUCAACAUAUGACGAAAGUAUUUGUAGCGCCUUGUCACACUGCUCAAGUUGUACACAAAAUUCCAACUGUCGUUUUUGUGUUUUAAAAAAUUUUCAUACAUCUCAAUUUUUACCUUACACUGACAAAACGUCAGAAAAGAAAGCAUUAAAAGGACAUUGCUUGAGUUUGAAGAGUACGCGUUGGGAUAAACUUUUUACUGAUGACUCAACUUUGAAAGAAACUGCUUAUUGCGGUCUUAUUCUACCUGAUUACUACAACGGUAUUACUUGCAAGGAUAUAAAUGAAGGCUCACAAUUUAAAACAUAUCGCGAAACAUUAGAACAAAUUCAACCAUAUUUCAUAGCAACAUAUUUAUUCGACGACGCGAAAGAAACGACUCUUGAAGAGGCGUUAAGAAAAAGUGGGGAUCCGAGCGGAAACGCUUUACUUAACCAGAGUUUUUUUUUUAUUUUUUUAAUUUUUUUUAUCAUAUCCAUCGUAUCAUUUUUUUUCGGUUUACUUUUUUUUUGCAUCUUUUCCUGUUGUCGAGCUUGUUUAUGUCGAUGUUGUUGCUGCUGCUGUUUCCGUUAAAAAAAAAAAACCAAUAAAACGUCUGUUUCAUUAACACACACACGUUUUGUUGAAUUUUUUUAUCUUAGCAAUUUUUCCGUGUAUAUUUUUACUUAUUAUGAAUAUGGCUAAAUCAAUGCAAAUUUUU
Long non-coding RNA from Hylaeus volcanicus, 944 nucleotides. RefSeq lists it as uncharacterized. Lineage: Eukaryota; Metazoa; Arthropoda; Insecta; Hymenoptera; Colletidae. The record is from RefSeq and is a predicted model, not a curated record. The transcript is spliced from 4 exons.